Long non-coding RNA from Humulus lupulus (European hop), 431 nucleotides. RefSeq lists it as uncharacterized. Lineage: Eukaryota; Viridiplantae; Streptophyta; Magnoliopsida; Rosales; Cannabaceae. The transcript has 2 exons. The record is from RefSeq and is a predicted model, not a curated record.
CUGGCUAUAUUAAUAGCGGCGAACUUUAUCAAAGCACCCCACGUCUCGUUCUCCCAAAUCCCUAAAACGCAUUUUCUCUCCAAAUUCCUCUAUGGCCUGAACACCUUCACUCCACCGAUGAAGCUUAUCUCCUCCUCAUCUCUCUAUCUCGGUUCUCUCUCAUAAAUUGUUGCUGAUGAGGUGGUUGAUGAGAAUGAAGACGAUGAGAUGAUUCACGUUGUGGAAGACUUCCUUUUACCGACAAAUGAGGAAGUAGAAAUGGAUCUUGGUGAGAGUCAGUAUUAUGACGGCGGGACAUUAGCAGCGGACCUUCCCGCCGUAAUAGCAUUUAUUUUUGUUGUGUGAAGAGUUCAACUAAUGCAAUAUUGGGGAUUCUCUUGUGCACCUCCUAUUUUUGAGUGUAUCAAUACACACUUUUUAUGUUUACGGUA